RNAcentral lists this ribosomal RNA (901 nucleotides) under Chaetomium subaffine. RNAcentral's name for it is "LSU rRNA". It matches the Rfam family "Eukaryotic large subunit ribosomal RNA", at positions 34 to 967 of the family's 3401-position model. The record is from RNAcentral. Lineage: Eukaryota; Fungi; Ascomycota; Sordariomycetes; Sordariales; Chaetomiaceae.
UUAAGCAUAUCAAUAAGCGGAGGAAAAGAAACCAACAGGGAUUGCCCUAGUAACGGCGGAGUGAAGCGGCAACAGCUCAAAUUUGAAAUCUGGCUUCGGCCCGAGUUGUAAUUUGCAGAGGAAGCUUUAGGCGCGGCACUUUCUGAGUCCCCUGGAACGGGGCGCCAUAGAGGGUGAGAGCCCCGUAUAGUUAGAUGCCUAGCCUGUGUAAAGCUCCUUCGACGAGUCGAGUAGUUUGGGAAUGCUGCUCAAAAUGGGAGGUAAAUUUCUUCUAAAGCUAAAUACCGGCCAGAGACCGAUAGCGCACAAGUAGAGUGAUCGAAAGAUGAAAAGCACUUUGAAAAGAGGGUUAAAUAGCACGUGAAAUUGUUGAAAGGGAAGCGCUUGUGACCAGACUUGCGCCGGGCAGAUCAUCCGGUGUUCUCACCGGUGCACUCUGCCCGGCUCAGGCCAGCAUCGGUUCUCGCGGGGGGAUAAAGGCCCCGGGAACGUAGCUCCUCCGGGAGUGUUAUAGCCCGGGGCGUAAUGCCCUCGCGGGGACCGAGGUUCGCGCAUCUGCAAGGAUGCUGGCGUAAUGGUCAUCAGCGACCCGUCUUGAAACACGGACCAAGGAGUCAAGGUUUUGCGCGAGUGUUUGGGUGUAAAACCCGCACGCGUAAUGAAAGUGAACGUAGGUGAGAGCUUCGGCGCAUCAUCGACCGAUCCUGAUGUUUUCGGAUGGAUUUGAGUAGGAGCGUUAAGCCUUGGACCCGAAAGAUGGUGAACUAUGCUUGGAUAGGGUGAAGCCAGAGGAAACUCUGGUGGAGGCUCGCAGCGGUUCUGACGUGCAAAUCGAUCGUCAAAUCUGAGCAUGGGGGCGAAAGACUAAUCGAACCAUCUAGUAGCUGGUUACCGCCGAAGU